This is a non-coding RNA of Nicotiana tabacum (common tobacco), 1139 nucleotides long. Lineage: Eukaryota; Viridiplantae; Streptophyta; Magnoliopsida; Solanales; Solanaceae. The record is from RefSeq and is a predicted model, not a curated record.
AAACCAGUUCUGCAGAAUAUUUCAGAAACCUUUCCAUUUCUCUAACCACCAUUUCAGGUUAAAAUAAGCCAAAGCUGUUGAUAAACCAGUUCUGCAGAAUAUUUCAGAAACCUUUCCAUUUCUCUAACCACCAUUUCAGGUUAAAAUAAGCCAAAGCUGUUGAUAAACCAGUUCUGCAGAAUAUUUCAGAAACCUUUCCAUUUCUCUAACCACCAUUUCAGGUUAAAAUGAGCCAAAGCUGUUGAUAAACCAGUUCUGCAGAAUAUUUCAGAAACCUUUCCAUUUCUCUAACCACCAUUUCAGGUUAAAAUAAGCCAAAAGAAUCUUCAGAAAGAAUAAAAUUUAACCCCACCAUGAAAAUCAAUCUUUACAUAUAUUAAUCAUAUAUAUGCAUAUGCCAGUGGUUGUGACGAGGAAAUCAAAUCACUGUUCAGUGUAUUUAUAAAAUUCACUCUCAACUCACAAGCAUAACAAGCUUCAAACAGUGAAAAAAGGAGGAAAGCAGAAGACACCUCCAGCGAAAUGCCAUGAACAUCACCAUUUACCUGCAACGGCAAUUGCUACAAGAUAAUCCUUAAAACAAAUUAGCUGACUAUUCGAUGUGUUCAUAAUGUAAUUCUUUGAACCGAUGGAAAAGCAAAAGUUGCUUCUUAUGAGACAGCCUGGUGUUUUGGGGAGCAGUAGAAGAAACCAUUCAGAAAGUAAGAUUUUGAAGGUUAGAAAGACAUUGCUAAAUAACUCAAAUACUGGUGAGAGAUGGGUAGGAUACCCUACCUUCUUCUCACUCCUUUUAGAUAGAAAAGUUUAGUGCAAAAUACUACAUAGUGUUUAAAAACAUUCACCGGAAUAGAAGUACUUGAAUAAAAAGAAAAUACACAUUGAAGAUCAUGGUCUUUAAGCAAAAGGUAACUUUUGUCAUAGUAAAAGACUUCAUUUGGAGAGUGCCCGGAACUUCAGAAGAAUCACCAGUCCAAAACUAAAAGUUUGAUGCAUUUUAUCAAGGAAUCUGCACAAUGAAUAGGUAAAACAUAAAAAACUAAGUAGAAAAAUAUUUUUAGCAGAAAAAACCAUGAAAUGCAAGUGAGAGUAAUACCUUGAGAAAAGUGAAAGACAAGUCAAAGGAUAUUGUUUUUAUGUAA